CAAACUUAUCCACUUGUGAUGUUGCGCCAAUUUUCGAGUACAGAGUUUUUUCUCAAUGAUAAGUUUCGUAUUUUUCGGUGCAUUGUGUGAUCGGUUUUUAAAUUCGCUUUUCAUUCAAUUCGGGGAAAUACCGGAAAGUUUAUGGCAUUAACGGAAUCAUUAUUUUCGAUUUUGUUAGUCUGUCCGCUCCGCAUAAUAAUGACCGUAGAAACUUAAAAUUUCGUGCUUAACACUUAUAUUAGCGUUGUCUAGACUCGGCCAAAUUUGCAAUAUGUUUUCGGCGAUUUUUGGACUGUUUAUAGGAAUUUGGUUUUAUGUGGAUAAAAGUUUUACGGCCAAACAGCAAUGUUUGAAAAUUCCACAUAAAAUCCAUACUAAACAAAAAGCUGAGUAGAAGGCGGUAGGUGUUUUUUCAUAAGCGUUUCUAGUUAGAUUUUUAACGAAAAUCGUAAAAAUCUCAACAGCAUUUCGCUAUAAAAACCGGUGUUUCGUUAGCAAUAAUUAUUAAUCGUUACGCGCAGUUAUAAAUGUAAUAAACUUAUACGCACCGUACCUUCGUAACUUCAAAUUUCACUAAUUAUGCACGUGUCACACCUUAAUUCACGUAUAAACAGAAUGCGAUUUCAAAAUUUACUCA
Non-coding RNA from Cinara cedri, 637 nucleotides. The record is from the annotation of a GenBank genome assembly. Lineage: Eukaryota; Metazoa; Arthropoda; Insecta; Hemiptera; Aphididae.